Molecule: ribosomal RNA, 433 nt
Filed under: uncultured bacterium
Lineage: Bacteria
Description: partial 16S ribosomal RNA
Rfam family: Bacterial small subunit ribosomal RNA
Source: RNAcentral
AACGAACGCUGGCGGCAUGCCUAACACAUGCAAGUCGAACGAGACCUUCGGGUCUAGUGGCGCACGGGUGCGUAACGCGUGGGAAUCUGCCCUUGGGUUCGGAAUAACAGAUGGAAACGACUGCUAAUACCGGAUGAUGACGUAAGUCCAAAGAUUUAUCGCCCAAGGAUGAGCCCGCGUAGGAUUAGCUAGUUGGUGAGGUAAAGGCUCACCAAGGCGACGAUCCUUAGCUGGUCUGAGAGGAUGAUCAGCCACACUGGGACUGAGACACGGCCCAGACUCCUACGGGAGGCAGCAGUGGGGAAUAUUGGACAAUGGGCGAAAGCCUGAUCCAGCAAUGCCGCGUGAGUGAUGAAGGCCUUAGGGUUGUAAAGCUCUUUUACCCGGGAUGAUAAUGACAGUACCGGGAGAAUAAGCUCCGGCUAACUCCGUG